This 253-nucleotide ribosomal RNA is filed under the name uncultured bacterium. Its description in RNAcentral is "partial 16S ribosomal RNA". It matches the Rfam family "Bacterial small subunit ribosomal RNA", at positions 524 to 776 of the family's 1533-position model. The record is from RNAcentral.
UACGUAGGGGGCUAGCGUUGUCCGGAAUCACUGGGCGUAAAGGGCGCGUAGGCGGCUUUUCAAGUCGGGGGUGAAAGCCUGUGGCUCAACCACAGAAUUGCCUUCGAUACUGUUAGGCUUGAGACCGGAAGAGGUGAGUGGAACUGCGAGUGUAGAGGUGAAAUUCGUAGAUAUUCGCAAGAACACCAGUGGCGAAGGCGGCUCACUGGUCCGGUUCUGACGCUGAGGCGCGAAAGCGUGGGGAGCAAACAGG